CUAGUGGUACGGUCGUACCAUCAAGCAUGCGCGACGGCGGACACUGCCACCCGGUGCGUGCGC
RNAcentral lists this non-coding RNA (63 nucleotides) under unclassified sequences. The record is from RNAcentral.